Long non-coding RNA from Glycine soja, 507 nucleotides. RefSeq lists it as uncharacterized. The record is from RefSeq and is a predicted model, not a curated record. The transcript has 2 exons. NCBI's taxonomy places the organism in Eukaryota, Viridiplantae, Streptophyta, Magnoliopsida, Fabales, Fabaceae.
AUGGGAGAUGCUUUCUCUUGAAACAUCACAACAAAAUUCUUAGAUAGAUCGUAUAGAAGUUAUGGAAAAAAAUAAGAUAAAAAUGACUGGAGUUGUGAUUAUGAUAAUGAUUAGGGUGAGUUUUUCAUUGGGUGAUUACAAUCAUCCAUUUGAUCAAAUUGGACCAAAUCAUGUGUCUGACAAACUCAGAUGUGUUGACCUUUGUAAAAUAGAAUGUGCGCCUUUACUAAUACCUCCUGGCGGUGGCCUUCUAUAUAUAUAUAUUGUGUUAAAAAGUGUGUGGCUGGUUGUGGCUUGAGCAGAUCCAUUGAUGCUCGUCAUAUUGCGGCCAACAGAGCAGGUUCCUGCGUGCAAAGAUGUCAAAACAAAUAAUAUUUUGUUACAAAAAUGUUUAGAAAAAGAGUGUCAAGAGAAAUAAUACUCAUGUAUGAUUAAUACUCAUGUAUGAUUGUAAUGAAUAAAUCAUAAUCAAUGAAUAGCAUCUACUUCUUCUUCUUUCUUUUUUUU